GCAGUCGCCACGGUAAAACGUAGGUGGCAAGCGUUGUCCGGAAUUAUUGGGCGUAGAGCGCGCGCAGGCGGAUCGGUCAGUCUGUCUUAAAAGUUCGGGGCUUAACCCCGUGAUGGGAUGGAAACUGCCAAUCUAGAGUAUCGGAGAGGAAAGUGGAAUUCCUAGUGUAGCGGUGAAAUGCGUUGAGAUCGGAAAGAACACCAACGGCGAAAGCACUCUGCUGGGCCGACACUGACACUGAGAGACGAAAGCUAGGGGAGCAAAUGGGAUUAGAUACCCCCGUAGUCCCUGUCUCUUAUACA
Molecule: ribosomal RNA, 302 nt
Filed under: uncultured bacterium
Lineage: Bacteria
Description: partial 16S ribosomal RNA
Rfam family: Bacterial small subunit ribosomal RNA
Source: RNAcentral